RNAcentral lists this non-coding RNA (46 nucleotides) under Trichobilharzia regenti. Lineage: Eukaryota; Metazoa; Platyhelminthes; Trematoda; Strigeidida; Schistosomatidae. The record is from RNAcentral.
GUACUGAUGAAGAGCCCCAAAAUAGGACGAAACAGCUGUUCAGUAC